CAAUAGCGUAUAUUAAAGUUGUUGCAGUUAAAAAGCUCGUAGUUGGAUUUGUGGCGUACGCGGAACUCCCUUCACUCAAGUGUUGGUGCUGUUUCGCGUUGCCAUCCUUGGGUGGAAUCUGUGUGGCAUUAGGUUGUCGUGCAGGGGAUGCCCAUCGUUUACUGUGAAAAAAUUAGAGUGUUCAAAGCAGGCUUAUGCCGUUGAAUAUGUUAGCAUGGAAUAAUGAGAUAGGACUGCGGUACUAUUUUGUUGGUUUGCGCACCGUGGUAAUGGUUAAUAGGAACGGAUUGGGGGUAUUCGUAUUUCAUUGUCAGAGGUGAAAUUCUUGGAUUUUUGAAAGACGAACGACUGCGAAAGCAUUUACCAAGGAUGUUUNCAUUA
This 381-nucleotide ribosomal RNA is filed under the name uncultured eukaryote. RNAcentral describes it as "partial 18S ribosomal RNA". It matches the Rfam family "Eukaryotic small subunit ribosomal RNA", at positions 592 to 975 of the family's 1831-position model. The record is from RNAcentral.